Molecule: ribosomal RNA, 424 nt
Filed under: Verrucomicrobiota bacterium
Lineage: Bacteria; Pseudomonadati; Verrucomicrobiota
Description: Verrucomicrobia bacterium partial 16S ribosomal RNA
Rfam family: Bacterial small subunit ribosomal RNA
Source: RNAcentral
UGAGGAAUAUUGGUCAAUGGACGAGAGUCUGAACCAGCCAAGUAGCGUGCAGGAUGACGGCCCUAUGGGUUGUAAACUGCUUUUGUAUGGGGAUAAAGUGGGGAACGUGUUCCCUUUUGCAGGUACCAUAUGAAUAAGGACCGGCUAAUUCCGUGCCAGCAGCCGCGGUAAUACGGAAGGUUCGGGCGUUAUCCGGAUUUAUUGGGUUUAAAGGGAGCGUAGGCCGUUUGGUAAGCGUGUUGUGAAAUGUAGGAGCUCAACUUCUAGAUUGCAGCGCGAACUGUCAGACUUGAGUGCGCACAACGUAGGCGGAAUUCAUGGUGUAGCGGUGAAAUGCUUAGAUAUCAUGAAGAACUCCGAUUGCGAAGGCAGCUUACGGGAGCGCAACUGACGCUGAAGCUCGAAGGUGCGGGUAUCGAACAGG